Molecule: long non-coding RNA, 1462 nt
Organism: Bolinopsis microptera
Lineage: Eukaryota; Metazoa; Ctenophora; Tentaculata; Lobata; Bolinopsidae
Exons: 3
Source: RefSeq, a predicted model, not a curated record
AUUGCAGUCAGGUAAAUGUAACACUUUGAGCUGGACCUAACCUGGCUAAAGUUUAAACUCUGUGAUGGUUGUAUAUUUAGAUGACAGACAAAUUCCUAACAGAUGAGGAGCUGUGUGAGAACUAUGGAGUGGGAUACAGUCUCAUGGUAAAGAUGGGUUGGACAGCUGCUUCACACCCGUUACCACCCGUCUUUACUGAUCUUAAUAGAAGUUCCAACAGUGAAAAAAGAUCUGGUUUUGGUUUUGUCAAGGAGGAGAAUAGAAAGCUUGAUUUUGAGUUUGAAGACAUGAUGGGGAAAAUGGCUAACUUGACAACGAAAAUGCCCAACUCCAAAUCUAAAUCACUUUCAAGCGGGGAAACUAAAGUGAAGCAGAUUAUUUCAGCGAAAUCUAAGCCAGGAGAAAGUUCGAGACCCGAGAAAAUUCCUUCACCUAAUGUUGUGGAACAGACGAUAGAGGAUCAUUCAAAAAGUCCAAAGCGCGGUGAAUUCACAACCCAAUGUUUAUGGAAUGAUGUGACUGAGCAAUCGGGUGCUCCUGAGGUUAAUCGGGGUUCGGUAAAUCCGAAAAUUAUGAUGAAGAUAAAGCAGAAAAAGGUUCUAAGAAACAAUCUCAGUGUAUUUGAAUGAAUAGAAACCGGGAUAAAAUAUUUUGGGCCUUGACACAAGAAUGCUUAGCACGACGAACUGUACUGUGGACAACUUACCCUGCACGAUUCUUCAUUUUUGGAAACGCUUUUAUGUAACGCGCGGCGUCAUUUCGGUGAUAAAAGCAAAUUGCCUCUCGCAAUUUUAGCCGAUUUUUGGAAAUUUUGCGAUUAUCUUGGAGACGCCUGGAUACGGAAUGAAGACAAAAGCUGAUCGUAUUUCAUUGGACGAUUCCCAGUUCAUAACUUUCUUUUGGAAAGCUGUUGAAGACUGAAUGUUUGAUUCUGUCGUGUAUGUGCAGCGUAUACAGUCUCGUUCGCAGUUCCGUUAAAUCAAAAUCCGUACGAAAAGCAGAUAAGUCUUGCAAGAAACAAUAAAUAAAUCGCAGUCUGAACUCUGGUGAAAAUUUGCUGAAAUGAGAAAAAAAGUUACGUACAUCAGGAAUUUUUUUGCAAAAAAUGUUGUUAUUGCUGAUAAAGGAGUUAUAAGAACCUGGGAAAUUUACCUCAUUUCCUUCAUCCUUGUUUCGAUGUCAGUCAUAACAUAGCCAGUAAUAACACUAAUGGUUUGAAAAUGACUAAGAAUCUCGAACUCUCAUGAGGCUGCGGAUUACAAUCGGAAGACAGAAAGCGACAGACAGAUCCAACAGAAAGAAGACUAUGAUGAAGACAUAUAGGAUUUUGUAUUUCGCAUUAAUCUAUUGAAUAUGUCCGUUAUUUUCACAACAAGAACAGUAAUUUUUGAUUUUUUUUGUUCAUAAGGGGUCGUUCACAUAUUACCUAAUCAAUAUUUUAGCAAUUUUUACCCCCCCCCCC